RNAcentral lists this long non-coding RNA (3144 nucleotides) under Salvia miltiorrhiza (redroot sage). RNAcentral's name for it is "long non-coding RNA (SMIL_LNC001983)". Lineage: Eukaryota; Viridiplantae; Streptophyta; Magnoliopsida; Lamiales; Lamiaceae. The record is from RNAcentral.
UCGAAGGGCAGAUCAUCUUUCUCCUUCAUCUGCUUCGAAAUGAAAAAGAGGGGAAAUAUCCCUUUCUUCCCGUCUCACUCCCUCCCUCGAUGAACAACGGCAGCCACCUCCAUUUUGUCGGCGCUGUUCAGAUCCUGGCUUCACCGUAAGGAGGUCCGUUGCGGUGGCGGUCGCCUUUACCCCGAAGAAGGGAGAUUGGCGGCGAUUGGAGCCUAGGGGCGCGGUUUCGUGGCUGCGGCUGUUGGAUGGGGACCGGCCAGGAGGCGGCGCUCGCCGCCGGAUUAUUCGAGGGAGGAGAAGUAAGGUGGCCAGAUCUGUGGUUUUAUUUGUGGGAUCUGAAUCAGGGGAGAGGAGAGGAUGAGAUAAGACAGCGGCGGUUUCGAUUUGGGGAUCUGGGUGGUGCUGCUGUUCAAAUAGACGAUGGCGGUGACUGAUAUUGAAUGAGAGACGACAGAGAAGGAGAGAUACUCCGUCGAUUUUGCUAGGAGUCGAAACUGGGAGUGGCAGCUCCCUCUUUCUCUUCGAGUAUUAUCCCAACUCGAUGUGACUCGAUUUUCCAUGGGAUGUGACUCGAUGUCGACGGCAGCUGCUGAUUUGUGAAGCGAGGGAGACGAGCUGGGGGAGUCCCGGCUUUCCGUCGACCUCGAUAGCACCAUAUGAGAUGCAACAUCGUCGGCAGGCUGGAACGGAAUCUACAUAGGAGGUGAGUAUCACAAAUUUGACUUUUGCUCGUAUUUAUCUUUCACAAACUUGAAUCUGAUUCCAGAAAGAACGAAAUUGAUUCUUUUUAAGAGAAUUAUUGUAUUGUUGAUUACUUUGAGGCCUCCCAUGUCUGUAUGAAUUAAAUUUUAUUGUUAUUUUAAAAAAAAUAGCUUCUGUGGCAAUUGUGUAGCGGUUGAAUUGAUUUUGUUUUUGAAUUAGUAGUGUCGCAGCUGCUUGUACAUACAUUUUUCUUUUGAUUGUGAUGAAGUAUGGUCCUUUAUGUGAAGACAUAAAGUGGACUGAUCAUAGCCUCAUUUUAGAGUAUGUUGGAGAGAGUUUGAGGAAAUUGACAAUUUUUUCAAAUACUUCUUUUUCAGACUGUUGGUGUUUGAUUGAAUUUACUAUAAUGUAUUUUUCUGCAGACAAGAUAAAUUUGUGGCACCCCAUGUUUUACUUUUCCUUCCUCACUCUUGAUUUUUUUUUAAGCUGUGAGGAAGUGGGCGAGCUUGCAGCAGAGUGGAAGCAGUAGAGAGAUCAUUGUAGAGAUUUGUGGAUUCUCUUUUGUGUAAGAAGGAAUAACUCACCAUUGUUAUUUGUUCAUUUAUUUAUGGAUUUCUGUUUUGCUUUUUGGAGGUUUUGAGCUCUCCACAACAAAGGUUGGCUCAGGGAAGAAGUGCCCAGACGGAUCGAGACCUUAUGAGACGGUUGUAGGCUUCUUUUUUUGUGUUUCCCUUGUUGAAGCUAUCAUGUGUGACUUGUUGAUAGCUCUUAUUUGUUUAUUUGAUUGCUAUGUAGAAAUGAUUGCUUAGUAUUUGCUCAUCUGGUGAGCGAUAGUGUUAGGAUAAAAUUCUAACAGCUUUUUGUAUGUCGUCAUUCAUUUUGAAUGUGGCUAAAUUCUUUGUUCUGAGUGCGGAAAUUUCAGAUGUUGUAUCGUUAUUUUUUUUUUUUUCAUUGCAUCGUUUAAGACUUGACUAUUUAGAUGACUUCUUAGAUUGGCAUGUGCCUGUUUUAUCUCCAGCUUGAACUUUAGAUCAUUGGGUCGGUUUGAGCUAUUUAUCUUAUUAGGACAUUUCAUUUGUGAAUUUUCAGAAAGUCGACACUGCUAGAUAUCUGUGAGAUUUGAUGAAGUAAUCACAUUGAUUACUUUGGAUAUCAUAUUUGAUGAAGUAAUCACAUUGAUUAUGAUGGCUUCAAUGCAUGGAUUAAUGCAACGUAUUGCAGCUUGUAUAUUUUAGAAAUCAGCAUGUCAAAGAGGUGCAUAGACACGACAUGUCCUUUUAUUUUCAUUUCGUUUUGCCAGCUUGGAAUUGAUGUUGGAGAAUUUAUUGCAUCUAGAUAGAGCCAGACUGGACUCAUAUGUGACAUCUUGUAUGUGAUUUUCAUGUAUACACUUGUAUUUAUUUUUCCAAGCCGGGACGAGUUACUGUAGAGGUAGCAAAAUGAUCCCUCAAGAAUUGGAAUAAUACUUCUAAUUUUAUUUGGUAAUCCAAGUUGAAAUCGGUUGACACUUAGCCAACUUGUGAUUGCGUUUGACUUGGGCAAGUUGUGCCUCAUCUUGGUGUGCAAGGUAAUCAAAUAAUUUUAUGCAGCAUGCCAGUUUGGGAUUAUUUUUUGAAUCAAAUGCUGGAAAUGUAGAGUUGUCGGCUCUGAAUUGUCCAAGUCAAGUAUUUGAAAUUGAAGCAAGUUGGAAUUUAUUAUAUUUGGGUCGUACUGACUUCGACCGACUGUGGCUAGUGCCAUGUGGAUAUUUCAACAAAGUGGCUAAUUCUAGCUUUAUAAAAGAUAAAUGUUUACAAACUUUUUCUAUCUCGUUGAUUGCUCCAAGUUGGGUGGUUCGUUCAACUGGAUGACUAGGGGCCAAUGGUCUUGAAUUUUAUGUUGUGCUGAUGUUUACUUCCUCAAUGAUACAGGUUGGUUUCGACCAUGUAGACGAGUCGUCGUUGGCGACUUAUGUCUCGCAAAGUGCUAGCAUCGUGGAGCAAGUUGAGACAUGUCGAUUUGAGGUUGGUGGCUGCACUCCGGAGAGUUGCCUACAUACCUCUUGCGAGGAUCAAGCCAAAUAUAGUUCUUGGGCCGGACUGGGCUCCGUAGAGCCAUGCUCCGUAGAGUUGCCUACAUACCCUUUGGCGGGAUCAAGUCCGAUGUAGUUCCGACUUGGCCUGGGUAAAAUUGUUAGUAACAGUGUGGAAAAAAUUAUAAACUUCAUGAAAAAAUAAGUAAUCGAAUGGAAAGUUUAGAAAUGAUAAGACCGAAGAUGGAUGGCGUUCCAGUUGUUGCUGAUGUCGCGCCCAUCUUUCUCCUGCAGCUUGUAAGCGCCAUUGCUGAACACCUUGGUGAUCAAGUAUGGACCCUCCCAGGUUGGACCCAGCUUGCCAGCUCCGAUCUCCUUGGUGUUUUGGAAUACACGUCGGAGUACCCAAUCGCCCAGCUUGAACCUCCGAG